AUUGAACGCUGGCGGCAUGCUUUACACAUGCAAGUCGAACGGCAGCGCGGGCUUCGGCCUGGCGGCGAGUGGCGAACGGGUGAGUAAUGCAUCGGAACGUGCCCAGUAGUGGGGGAUAGCCCGGCGAAAGCCGGAUUAAUACCGCAUACGACAUGAGGGUGAAAGCGGGGGACCGAAAGGCCUCGCGCUAUUGGAGCGGCCGAUGUCGGAUUAGCUAGUUGGUGGGGUAAAGGCUUACCAAGGCGACGAUCCGUAGCUGGUCUGAGAGGACGACCAGCCACACUGGGACUGAGACACGGCCCAGACUCCUACGGGAGGCAGCAGUGGGGAAUUUUGGACAAUGGGGGCAACCCUGAUCCAGCCAUGCCGCGUGCGGGAAGAAGGCCUUCGGGUUGUAAACCGCUUUUGUUCGGGAAGAAAUCCUCUGGGCUAAUACCCCGGGGGGAUGACGGUACCGGAAGAAUAAGCACCGGCUAACUACGUG
RNAcentral lists this ribosomal RNA (484 nucleotides) under uncultured bacterium. RNAcentral describes it as "partial 16S ribosomal RNA". It matches the Rfam family "Bacterial small subunit ribosomal RNA", at positions 29 to 507 of the family's 1533-position model. The record is from RNAcentral.